UGGCUCAGGACGAACGCUGGCGGCGUGCUUCAUACAUGCAAGUCGAACGAGAAGCUCACUUCGGUGAGUGGAAAAGUGGCGGACGGGUGAGUAACAUGUAGGGAAUCUACCCUUGGGAUGGGGACAACAGCUGGAAACGGCUGCUAAAACCCGAUAUGAGUAUUGUUGAGAUAUAAUACUUGAAAACUCCGGUGCCCAAGGAUGAGCCUGCACCUGAUUAGCUAGUUGGUGGUGUAAUGGACUACCAAGGCGACGAUCAGUAGCUGGUUUGAGAGGAUGAUCAGCCACAAGUGGGACUGAGACACCGGCCCAUACUCCGUACGGGAGGCAGCAGGUAAGGGUAAUUUUGCGCAAGUACGGGGGAAACCCUGAACCGCAGCAACGCCGCGUGGACGAAGAACGCCCGUUCGGGGUAGUAAAGUUCUGUCAGUGGGGACGAAUGAAUGACGGUACCCACAGAGGAAGCACCGGCUAACUCCGUGCCAGCCGCGGC
Molecule: ribosomal RNA, 493 nt
Filed under: uncultured bacterium
Lineage: Bacteria
Description: bacterial SSU rRNA
Rfam family: Bacterial small subunit ribosomal RNA
Source: RNAcentral